GUACAUUCUCAUCAAUAUUUAACGAGAUGCUUACCUUGUACAAUUUUGUUUUGAUGCAGUUUUCUGUAUACAAUAAUCUUUGAGAGGCAUAGCAAUGGAACAACUGUUAUUGGAAAGUUAUAUCAAUUAGAUUCGCCAAAUGAGACGAACACCAAAUGGCUGAAAGCAUCAAUUUAAAAAAAAAUGAAAGAUUUCAUGACAUCACCUAUGGGUUUUUCCUAAUGGAAUUGCAUAUCCUGAAAAAACUGAUUGAGGAAACUUUUAAAAAUAUCCAGAUGUCAGCCACCCUUCAGAGAAAAUGACAAAAAAGUUUGAAUCCUUUGAACAAACUUAUCCUUACAUAAAUAUCUCAAAUGGAGGAUAACGUGCCUCUAUAGUCAGCCUUCUGAAGCUUAUCCUUAGCCUCAACUGUGCAUCAAAAAAGUCACGUGCUUAUCUGAUACAUUCGAUUUCGUUCCAACAAGGUUUAUAUUACAUACUUUUUGGUUCGAGAAGUGGGUAUAGGACAGGUAGGACAUGUCCUACCGACGAAAAAUACCAGGAAGGACACUAUAUGUAUUGUUCAACCCAUGAUUUUUAGAGAAACACAAAGAAAUAUAAAAUAUUCUACAAAAUAUUCUCUCUUAGAAUCAAGAGUUUGGGAUAAAACUUUGGUAUUGAACUAUUUUCAUAGGAAAGAAAUCUGCUUACUUCAUGUAGAUAUCUAUUCUAACAAGUUCGUUUUUGAUUCAACCAUAAAUUCAUUACAGAAAUUUUCUAAUGGCUCUGCAAAGUAUAACUCAAAGCAUUUAGUAUUGGGUAAUUUCUACAAAUAUUUCUUUGCAGGUAAUUCUGCAGAGGAUAUUCAUGAAAUAUUUGUCCGGGAAUAGCGUAGAGAACUUCAUUGGUAUAGUAUUCCUGGAAGUCCUUGCACGGUUUCCACAAAAAUUUUCUAAUGAUAUUUCCUGUCUGGAGUUCUCUAAUGACUUCUUUUGGAAUUAUAAAAAAAAACAAAUAGGAGAUAUUAACAAGAAUUCAAGAAGACGACUUGAAAUUCAAUUUAGAUUCCAUAAAAAAUACUGUCUAAUAUUUCACUAUAGGGGUAGGCGGGGCAAUAUGAACACCCUAAGGUUUUUGCCAACUUUACCUGGCAAGAUGUCAAAAAAGUUUAGUUUUUUGAUACAUGUAUCCUUUUAAAGUCUAUUUAGCAUCUAUUGCAUAUGAAUUCUCACGAAGAAAAAUGAUUUAUCCACUUAAAAAAAUGUUUUGAAAAAUGUUAGUUUUUCAUGACCGUCUUCAAACAUACGGGGCAGAAUGGACACCCCCAUGGGGCAAUAUGGACACCAUGAGACCUUUACGAAUUUCGUACAUUAUUUACACCUAUGAAGUCAUUUCAUUACAAAACAACUAUUAUGGAUGAAUAAUGCGCCGAAUUAGUUCAUUUUUGUUCAGUUAAUUUAAAUUCAGGCUGUUUUGGAUGAAGCUUCGUUUUUGUCGGCAUGUAAGCUGUGCCUAGAACAACUAAUUUCCACUUCUGUCGUUUUUUAACCAAUUUGUUUCACCCUAUGUCUACUAUAGUGAACAUUUAACCGAAAAUAUACUGAAAUCGAAGAAUUUGAUUGGUUUGUGAUUUAGGUUAUAUUUUUCCCUUGCCGCUUCUUUCAAAAAGGUGAGUGUCCAUUUUGCCCCGGCAGCAGAAGAUAUUUCCAAACUUGAUUUUUGAUAUAAUAAAGAAGAAAAUAUAAACAUGUUAAGCAUGUAGAUAUAGCAAAACUAUUUGCAUGUGCUCUAGAAAUAUCAGGUUUUAAUCGACCUGCAAUAAAUUAAUCACUAAAUCUUA
Molecule: long non-coding RNA, 1819 nt
Organism: Aedes albopictus (Asian tiger mosquito)
Lineage: Eukaryota; Metazoa; Arthropoda; Insecta; Diptera; Culicidae
Exons: 2
Source: RefSeq, a predicted model, not a curated record